RNAcentral lists this ribosomal RNA (253 nucleotides) under uncultured bacterium. RNAcentral's name for it is "partial 16S ribosomal RNA". It matches the Rfam family "Bacterial small subunit ribosomal RNA", at positions 524 to 776 of the family's 1533-position model. The record is from RNAcentral.
GACAGAGGGUGCAAACGUUGUUCGGAAUUACUGGGCGUAAAGCGCGUGUAGGCAGCUCGGAAAGUCGGGUGUGAAAGCCCUGGGCUUAACCUAGGAAGUGCACUCGAAACUUCCGAGCUUGAGUUCUGGAGAGGAAGGCGGAAUUCUCGGUGUAGAGGUGAAAUUCGUAGAUAUCGAGAGGAACACCGGUGGCGAAGGCGGCGAUCUGGGUCGAUACUGACACUGAGACGCGAAAGCGUGGGUAGCAAACAGG